UUUUACCUUUGGCCACACCAAUUUAAUUUCUUGUUCUACGGAUUUUUGGACUCCAAAAUUUGGGGCGAGCAAGCGAUUUGAAAAUUUUAAUAAAAAAAUAUUUAAUUUGCAAAUUUUUGAGGCGAAGCUUGAAAAGUAAAGGCGAGCGAUUAUAAUUUUUUUUUGUAAACAUAAAAAAGUAGGUUUUCACAAUAUUAAAGCUUGAUUUAUCACUUGUACUUUGCCAUUUCUUUAAUUUCUGAAGUAUUUUUUCCCUGUUCACCAAGAAAUAAUUAAAUCU
RNAcentral lists this long non-coding RNA (280 nucleotides) under Mytilus galloprovincialis (Mediterranean mussel). The record is from RNAcentral. Lineage: Eukaryota; Metazoa; Mollusca; Bivalvia; Mytilida; Mytilidae.